Molecule: long non-coding RNA, 1474 nt
Organism: Mus musculus (house mouse)
Lineage: Eukaryota; Metazoa; Chordata; Mammalia; Rodentia; Muridae
Product: predicted gene, 36041
Exons: 7
Source: RefSeq, a predicted model, not a curated record
UUAACCCAGGUGUCUUGGUGCUGGAGAACAGAACUGGCCAGAGUCCAUCCUGUCUCCCACCGGCAUCCCAUUACGAAAUGAACACAGAAAAGGCAGGUCUGCAAUGCCAACAUCUAGUAUCUAUCCCAAAGACCAGGGAGAAAGGAAGGAAAGAUUCUGGUUCUGUCCUCUUCCCCAAGGCAAGGCUGGCUGCCCUACCAACAGAGGCAAAGAGAAGAGUGUGCAAGGCUGGCUGCCCUCCCAACAGAGGCAAAGAGGAGUGUGUGUUGAAAUAUCCAUUGAAUCCCUGAGACAACUGGAUCCUGGCCCAUUGAAUCAUAAACUCAGCAGAAUCUCACAUCAUAACCCCAAAUGACCUGUUACUCACCAUGUGGCCCAGCUGUCUUCAAACUCACCAGCCUCCUGCCUUAGCCUUCUAAAUGCUUGGAUUACAGGCAUGACCCACCAUAACUGGCUUUGUUUUAGUUUCAGAGAAGAUGAAACUGAUGUGCGUCAAAAAGUAAACUACCCACAUUUUAACUGGGCACAUUCCUGUCAAUCUGAUGAGAAUCUAUUUCAUACCCUGCUUUAGCUGGUAGUCUGUCAAGGAAAUGAGCUGAACAUGUCUGUGUACAGCUUUUGUGCCAUCCCUGGAUGAGCGAGCUGUCUGCCUCUAUGUUCUCCACAAAAUGGAAUAUAGCUGUACACCCAAGCCAAGUUAUGGAGGCUGGGAAGACCUAGAAUGUGGCAUCACUAUUUGGAAACCAUGCCGAUUACCGACCGAGCUCUCAAUGGAAAAAUGCAGUCGGCGUGAACCACGCACGAACACAGCAGAGAAAGAAGAAAACACACACCACGAGGAACCCUAAUAGGACAAUACAUUAUAAGUCACAGUGCUACGGAGAAACCCAGUAGCCACAUGGAAGCAGAGACCAUGCAUAUGCAUCUACUCCGCAGCUCUGUGAAUGUCAGCAGCUCCCACGGACUGGAGAUCCCGUGAGAUCCCGUGAGAUCUCACCCAUAGCCUCAUGGUACAUCCACUUGGUGUGCUGGGAGAGUCAGGAUGAGGACCUGAGAAGAACAGCAGCUUGAACCUGACUUCAUUUAACAGCCCACUGCCCUCUUGCCAAGAACCCAUCACAGACCUUCCCAGAAGAGAGGGAUGAGCCUCACCUAUGAAUAAGUCCUCAGAAACUCAAAUUUGAUUCUAAUGGAUUGUUUUCUCAGAAAGACUGAGCAUGUCCCCCCACAUCUCUGUCAUUUCCCACAGUAGUAACCUCUGCAGAUGCCACAUAGAAAACAAAACAAAACAAAAAAACAUGAGGUUGGUGGGCAGAUAGGCAGGGUAUAAACAAACAGCCUUGUAACCCAGAAGCUGUGUGAUAUACAGUAAACUUCACAACACUGAAAAGAUGUCCUAUCUGUUAAAAUGGGGUAAUAACAACUACCCGAAUGUUUAGGAAUAGAACUUCAAUAAAUGAUACAUUUUAUAGUA